ACUAUAGCUCAGUCGGUAGAGCAUCUCACUCGUAAUGAGAAGGUCGCGAGUUCGAUUCUCGCUGGU
Molecule: transfer RNA, 66 nt
Filed under: Corynebacterium afermentans
Lineage: Bacteria; Bacillati; Actinomycetota; Actinomycetes; Mycobacteriales; Corynebacteriaceae
Rfam family: tRNA
About the family: Transfer RNA (tRNA) molecules are approximately 80 nucleotides in length. Their secondary structure includes four short double-helical elements and three loops (D, anti-codon, and T loops).
Source: RNAcentral